Molecule: ribosomal RNA, 473 nt
Filed under: uncultured bacterium
Lineage: Bacteria
Description: SSU rRNA
Rfam family: Bacterial small subunit ribosomal RNA
Source: RNAcentral
AGGACGAACGCUGGCGGCGCGCCUAACACAUGCAAGUCGAGCGAUAACCAGGGCUUGCCCUGGGGACAGCGGCGAACGGGUGCGUAACACGUGAGCAACCUGCCCCAAAGACCGGGACAACCCGAGGAAACUCGGACUAAUACCGGAUGCCCUCACCGGGCCGCAUGGUCUGGUGAGGAAAUGGAUUCCGCUUUGGGAUGGGCUCGCGGUCUAUCAGCUUGUUGGUGGGGUAACGGCCUACCAAGGCGAUGAUCGGUAGCUGGUCUGAGAGGAUGAUCAGCCACACGGGGACUGAGACACGGCCCCGACUCCUACGGGAGGCAGCAGCAAGGAAUUUUCCGCAAUGGGGGCAACCCUGACGGAGCAACGCCGCGUGACGGAUGACGCCUCUUGGGGUGUAAACGUCUUUUGCCGGGAAGAGAAUGGACGGUACCCGGCGAAUCAGGACCGGCUAACUACGUGCCAGCAGCCGC